GCCUGGUCUAGUAGAGCUGUGUUGUGAUGGGUCUGGUCUAGUAGAGCUGUGUUGUGAUGGGUCUGGUCUAGUAGAGCUGUGUUGUGAUGGGCCAGGUCUAGUAGAGCUGUGUUGUGAUGGGCCAGGUCUAGUAGAGCUGUGAUGGGUCUGGUCUAGUAGAGCUGUGUUGUGAUGGGACGGGUCUGGUCUAGUAGAGCUGUGUUGUGAUGGGCCAGGUCUAGUAGAGCUGUGUUGUGAUGGGUCUGGUCUAGUAGAGCUGUGUUGUGAUGGGCCAGGUCUAGUAGAGCUGUGUUGUGAUGGGCCUGGUCUAGUAGAGCUGUGUUGUGAUG
This 329-nucleotide long non-coding RNA is filed under the name Salmo salar (Atlantic salmon). Its description in RNAcentral is "lncRNA (ENSSSAG00000115428.1)". Lineage: Eukaryota; Metazoa; Chordata; Actinopteri; Salmoniformes; Salmonidae. The record is from RNAcentral.